This is a non-coding RNA of Desulfamplus magnetovallimortis, 230 nucleotides long. The record is from Rfam. Lineage: Bacteria; Pseudomonadati; Thermodesulfobacteriota; Desulfobacteria; Desulfobacterales; Desulfobacteraceae.
UUCUAUUUUUGACCAGGUGGCGAUAAUGGUGCUUAACCUUUAAAUAACAGCACGUUAUAUAUUGCCUUAAAAUGGGAAUCCGGUGAAAAACCGGAACGGUCCCGCCGCUGUAAACGGGGACGAGCUCCUGCAUAAAUGUCACUGCAAAGAGUUUUUUUAAGCUUUGUGGGAAGACGCAGGAGCAAGGAUGAUCCGUGAGUCAGAAGACCUGCCAGGUUAAAAGUUUGUAC